Molecule: ribosomal RNA, 397 nt
Filed under: uncultured bacterium
Lineage: Bacteria
Description: partial 16S ribosomal RNA
Rfam family: Bacterial small subunit ribosomal RNA
Source: RNAcentral
AUACGUAGGGGGCGAGCGUUGUCCGGAAUUACUGGGCGUAAAGGGUGCGUAGGCGGCCUUAUAAGUCAGAUGUGAAAUACCGAGGCUUAACUUCGGGGGUGCAUUUGAAACUGUAGGGCUUGAGUGCAGGAGAGGAAAGUGGAAUUCCUAGUGUAGCGGUGAAAUGCGUAGAGAUUAGGAGGAACACCAGUGGCGAAGGCGGCUUUCUGGACUGUAACUGACGCUGAGGCGCGAAAGUGUGGGGAGCAAACAGGAUUAGAUACCCUGGUAGUCCACACUGUAAACGAUGAAUGCUAGGUGUAGGGGGUAUCGACCCCUUCUGUGCCGCAGUCAACACAAUAAGCAUUCCGCCUGGGGAGUACGGCCGCAAGGUUGAAACUCAAAUGAAUUGACGGGG